AAAUUACAAGUAUUAUAUUGAUCAUGGAAGACUUGGUGACCAAGGAACAUUAAACAGACAUACCUUUAUUAUUAGAAAAACAAAAGUAUUCAAGAUAAUAUAACUGCAAGUUUGUGUUAAUUUUGGCAUAGAACCAAUGCGAAAAGUUAACAACAUAAGGGAAUUUAAAACACAAGUGAAAAGUGGAUUCAUCACGGCCUUUACACAUACUACGAAUUUAAGCCACUGACCAAUCCCUUAAUGUUCAAGGACCAAAUUUAUUUAUCCUAUAAUCAAGCUUAGGAGAAGAAGGAGAUUUGAAGGUAUAAGCUUAUCUAAGAGUUAAGUCACCUGAACAUAAAUUUCUCCAAAAAUUUUGGUCCUUGAGAUAGACAAUUGUAAAGUUUGGACCAAGGAUAUUCACAUUUAAUCAAAAGCCUGAAUUCAGGUUUCAUGCUACACUAGAGAUAUAAAAAAAUGUGACGGUUCAUGGUGCCAGCCUUUCUUAAGACUUUAGCUUUCAGAAGCUUGGACCUUAUUUUGGCACACAAGAGAUCUUACACCUCAACUAUCAUGAAAAUGAGUCUUGCACACUUUAUUUCCAGCCUUAAUCACUAACUUUCUUUUGUUCAUAUUUCCACUCCAAAUGAUAUUUAUAAAUGCAAUUUCAAUCGACUAUAUCUUCUCGUUUUGAGCUUGACUUGCAACUUCCAAUCGGUCCAUCUGGCUCUGCAUCGCUUCAUUUACGCGAGCUAUAUCUUAUGAAAGGCAUCAUCAUAAUCCACCCCAAAAGCAUGCUUCCGUUCACCUAUUUAACAUAUCACAAAUCAGCGAGACUCCACGUCCCAUUUCUUGAAUUUGAGAAAGUUUGUUAUUCAUGCUUGCUUCACCCUCUUUUUCAUCACGUGGCUUUUCUUUCGUUACAAUAAGUUUGUGUCAUUGAUUGCUUUGACUUGUGCAUAUAAAGUUGUUGGAAU
RNAcentral lists this long non-coding RNA (956 nucleotides) under Lathyrus oleraceus (garden pea). RNAcentral's name for it is "Pisum sativum (pea) long non-coding RNA (PSAT_LNC036388)". The record is from RNAcentral. Lineage: Eukaryota; Viridiplantae; Streptophyta; Magnoliopsida; Fabales; Fabaceae.